CAGAAGAUAGUUUAAUAUAAAAUAUUAAUUUUGGGAAUUAAUGAUAGGGGCUAUCCUUUCUUCUGA
Molecule: transfer RNA, 66 nt
Filed under: Austinogebia wuhsienweni
Lineage: Eukaryota; Metazoa; Arthropoda; Malacostraca; Decapoda; Upogebiidae
Description: tRNA-Pro
Rfam family: tRNA
About the family: Transfer RNA (tRNA) molecules are approximately 80 nucleotides in length. Their secondary structure includes four short double-helical elements and three loops (D, anti-codon, and T loops).
Source: RNAcentral